Molecule: non-coding RNA, 140 nt
Organism: Oryza brachyantha (malo sina)
Lineage: Eukaryota; Viridiplantae; Streptophyta; Magnoliopsida; Poales; Poaceae
Source: Rfam
AGGUUUAGCCGACGAGGACAUGAUGUCCUACGUUCUUGCCGGACUCGACGACGACCACGAACCAGUCGUCUCCUCCCUCGUUGGUAGGGCAGAACCAGUUGCUUUCUCUGAAUUAUACUCACAACUUUUAAGCUUUGAGU